UGCAAUCGACAACGCGCUUACCAGAUA
This 27-nucleotide small RNA is filed under the name Bombyx mori (domestic silkworm). Its description in RNAcentral is "ovarian small RNA-33397". Lineage: Eukaryota; Metazoa; Arthropoda; Insecta; Lepidoptera; Bombycidae. The record is from RNAcentral.